GCCGCUUCGCUUUCUGCCGGAUCAACAUAAUUGAUGAUCUCUGUCCAAUACAAUUCUUAUACCACUGAAGCAUUGGAGACAUAAGGUCCAUGCUUGGAAAUUGCUGCGAUCCGCCAAUCCACUAUUCAUUUAUUUAUAAAAUAUUUUACCAGGAAGGAUACAAUAUAAUUUUCAAGUAUGUCCUGGGUCCACAAAUGUUGCAUUGAAUCCAGUGCAUCCCUAUGCAAAUACUAGUGGAA
Molecule: non-coding RNA, 239 nt
Organism: Pelobates cultripes (western spadefoot toad)
Lineage: Eukaryota; Metazoa; Chordata; Amphibia; Anura; Pelobatidae
Source: the annotation of a GenBank genome assembly